This 194-nucleotide ribosomal RNA is filed under the name uncultured eukaryote. RNAcentral's name for it is "partial 18S ribosomal RNA". It matches the Rfam family "Eukaryotic small subunit ribosomal RNA", at positions 1 to 206 of the family's 1831-position model. The record is from RNAcentral.
UAAACCUGGUUGAUCCUGCCAGUAGUCAUAUGCUUGUCUCAAAGAUUAACCCAUGCAUGUGUAAGUAUAGUAUCUACAGCGAAACUGCGAAUGGCUCAUUAAAACAGUUAUAGUUUAUUUGACGAACUUCUAAAUGGAUAACCGUAGUAAGACCAGAGCUAAUACAUGCCCCAAAGGCCGUCAAAAGCCUGCAU